RNAcentral lists this long non-coding RNA (250 nucleotides) under Gallus gallus (chicken). The record is from RNAcentral. Lineage: Eukaryota; Metazoa; Chordata; Aves; Galliformes; Phasianidae.
AUUUAAAUCACUUUAAUUAUUCCAGGCUUUAUGUUAGGAAGAGUCAGGAAGGUGGAUCAUUAGGUAGGCUGCUCCAAUAUUGCCCUGCUCCGGCGGGGAGGGUUCUCCGGGAGGCGCGGAGCGCCAGGGGCCGAGGCGGCCACUCUCGCAGCCUCCGGCCGCCCCUCAUUCAAAGCUCGGAACGCAGCGCUGCGCCGCCACCUCCCGCGCCGCCAUGUCGGCCUCCUGUCACCCGGGCGACGAGGCCGCC